This 466-nucleotide ribosomal RNA is filed under the name uncultured bacterium. Its description in RNAcentral is "partial 16S ribosomal RNA". It matches the Rfam family "Bacterial small subunit ribosomal RNA", at positions 28 to 507 of the family's 1533-position model. The record is from RNAcentral.
GAUGAACGCUGGCGGCGUGCUUAACACAUGCAAGUCGAACGGAAAGGCCACAGCUUGCUGUGGUACUCGAGUGGCGAACGGGUGAGUAACACGUGGGUGAUCUGCCCUGUACUUCGGGAUAAGCUUGGGAAACUGGGUCUAAUACCGGAUAGGAAUCACAUGUGGGUGUGUGGUUGGAAAGCUUUUGCGGUAUGGGACGAGCUCGGGGCCUAUCAGCUUGUUGGGGGGGUAAUGGCCUACCAAGGCGUCGACGGGUAGCCGGCCUGAGAGGGUGUACGGCCACAUUGGGACUGAGAUACGGCCCAGACUCCUACGGGAGGCAGCAGUGGGGAAUAUUGCACAAUGGGCGCAAGCCUGAUGCAGCGACGCCGCGUGGGGGAUGACGGCCUUCGGGUUGUAAACUCCUUUCGUCAGGGACGAAGCGAAAGUGACGGUACCUGGAGAAGAAGCACCGGCUAACUACGUG